Molecule: ribosomal RNA, 511 nt
Filed under: uncultured bacterium
Lineage: Bacteria
Description: bacterial SSU rRNA
Rfam family: Bacterial small subunit ribosomal RNA
Source: RNAcentral
ACGAACGCUGGCGGCGUGCCUAAUACAUGCAAGUCGAGCGAAUGAUUAGAGAAGCUUGCUUCUCUCUGAUUUAGCGGCGGACGGGUGAGUAACACGUGGGUAACCUACCCUAUAGACUGGGAUAACUUCGGGAAACCGGAGCUAAUACCGGAUAAUACUUCGAAACACAUGUUUUGAAGUUGAAAGAUGGUUUCGGCUAUCACUAUAGGAUGGACCCGCGGCGCAUUAGCUAGUUGGUGAGGUAACGGCUCACCAAGGCAACGAUGCGUAGCCGACCUGAGAGGGUGAUCGGCCACACUGGGACUGAGACACGGCCCAGACUCCUACGGGAGGCAGCAGUAGGGAAUCUUCCACAAUGGACGAAAGUCUGAUGGAGCAACGCCGCGUGAAGUGAAGAAGGAUUUCGGUUCGUAAAACUCUGUUGCAAGGGAAGAACAAGUAGCGUAGUAACUGGCGCUACUUUGACGGUACCUUGUUAGAAAGCCACGGCUAACUACGUGCCAGCAGCAGC